CGCGGCCUAUCAGCUUGUUGGUGAGGUAACGGCUCACCAAGGCAACGACGGGUAGCUGGUCUGAGAGGACGAUCAGCCACACUGGGACUGAGACACGGCCCAGACUCCUACGGGAGGCAGCAGCAGGGAAUAUUGCACAAUGGGCGAAAGCCUGAUGCAGCGACGCCGCGUGGGGGAUGAAGGCCUUCGGGUUGUAAACCCCUUUCAGGAGGGACGAAGCGAAAGUGACGGUACCUCCAGAAGAAGCCCCGGCCAACUACGUGCCAGCAGCCGCGGUAAUACGUAGGGGGCGAGCGUUGUCCGGAUUUAUUGGGCGUAAAGAGCUCGUAGGCGGCUCAACAAGUCGGCCGUGAAAGCCCGAGGCUUAACCUCGGGACGCCGGUCGAAACUGUUGUGGCUAGGGUCCGGUAGAGGAGAGUGGAAUUCCCGGUGUAGCGGUGAAAUGCGCAGAUAUCGGGAGGAACACCAGUAGCGAAGGCGGCUCUCUGGGCCGGCACCGACGCUGAGGAGCGAAAGCUAGGGGAGCAAACAGGAUUAGAUACCCUGGUAGUCCUAGCCGUAAACGAUGGGUACUAGGUGUGGCGGAUUCAUUGACAUCUGCCGUGCCGAAGCUAACGCAUUAAGUACCCCGCCUGGGGAGUACGG
This 645-nucleotide ribosomal RNA is filed under the name uncultured bacterium. Its description in RNAcentral is "bacterial SSU rRNA". It matches the Rfam family "Bacterial small subunit ribosomal RNA", at positions 232 to 885 of the family's 1533-position model. The record is from RNAcentral.